GUAGGGAAUCUUCCGCAAUGGACGCAAGUCUGACGGAGCAACGCCGCGUGUGUGAAGAAGGUCUUCGGAUCGUAAAGCACUGUUGUUAGAGAAGAACAGCCGGUAGAGUAACUGUUACCGGAUUGACGGUAUCUAACCAGAAAGCCACGGCUAACUACGUGCCAGCAGCCGCGGUAAUACGUAGGUGGCAAGCGUUGUCCGGAUUUAUUGGGCGUAAAGGGAGCGCAGGCGGUGACUUAAGUCUGAUGUGAAAGCCCACGGCUCAACCGUGGAGGGUCAUUGGAAACUGGGUCACUUGAGUAUAGAAGAGGAAAGUGGAAUUCCAUGUGUAGCGGUGAAAUGCGUAGAUAUAUGGAGGAACACCAGUGGCGAAGGCGACUUUCUGGUCUAUAACUGACGCUGAGGCUCGAAAGCGUGGGGAGCAAACAGGAUUAGAAACCCUAGUAGUCC
This 450-nucleotide ribosomal RNA is filed under the name uncultured Facklamia sp. Its description in RNAcentral is "bacterial SSU rRNA". It matches the Rfam family "Bacterial small subunit ribosomal RNA", at positions 354 to 796 of the family's 1533-position model. The record is from RNAcentral. Lineage: Bacteria; Bacillati; Bacillota; Bacilli; Lactobacillales; Aerococcaceae.